Molecule: ribosomal RNA, 369 nt
Filed under: Triticum aestivum (bread wheat)
Lineage: Eukaryota; Viridiplantae; Streptophyta; Magnoliopsida; Poales; Poaceae
Description: partial small subunit ribosomal RNA
Source: RNAcentral
AUGGCCAUCUUCGAAGAGUUCUAUGUUGGGUCUAUCGACCUCGGGCGCCUCAACUAUGGGAUCAUCUCGCUCAUCGCAAAGGUCCCGGGAGCCUCGGACAUCCAUCAGUUUCGUCCAAUCACGGUCAUCAACGUGAUUUUUCGGAUUCUGGCUAAAGGGUACGCCAAUAGGGUGACCCUCCUUGCUGACCAGAUUACCCACCCCAACUAGUCCGCCUUCAUUCAAGGGCGAUACAUUCUGGAUGGGGUGCUAGUCCUUCACGAAGUCCUCCAUGAGGUGUGCGCUAAACACCUUAAGGCGGUCUUCUUGAAGAUUGAUUUCCAUAAGGCCUACGACACGGUCAGUUGGCCCUUCCUUCGGGAAGUUUUG